Molecule: ribosomal RNA, 463 nt
Filed under: uncultured bacterium
Lineage: Bacteria
Description: partial 16S ribosomal RNA
Rfam family: Bacterial small subunit ribosomal RNA
Source: RNAcentral
GAUGAACGCUGACAGAAUGCUUAACACAUGCAAGUCGAAGGGGAAGUGGUGCUUGCCCCGUGGCAACCAUGGCGGACGGGUGAGUAACGCGUGAGGGACUUACCUGCAGGACUGGGGUAACAGGGGGGAACUCCUGACCAAACCGGAUAAUGUCAUGGAGGUGCAUGGGUUUGGGUUGGAAGGGUUCGCCUGCGGAGAGCCUCGCCUCGUAUUAGCUAGUUGGUGGGGGGAUGGCUCAACAAGGCGAAGAGAGGGGGCCGCCCUGAGAGGGAGGACGGCCACAAGGGCACUGAGAUGCCGCCGUUACUCCUACGGGGGGCAGCAGUGGGGAAUAUUGGACUAGGGGGGCAACCGUGAUACAGAAACUCUGUGUGCAAGAAGAAGGUUUGCGGAUUGAAAAGUGCUUGCAGCAGAGAAGAAGUAAGUGACGGUACCUGCAGAAGAAGCGACGGCUAAAUACGUG